AUGUAUGGGAAUCUUGUUGAAGGAGAAAGCUUUGAGUUGAGGAUGGAGAACGGAGAGAGAGGCGAAGAAUUGGCUUCUCCCAAGAAUGAGCCAACAGCCUCUGAGGGCCUCGACAAGUUCCAGCGAUUGAAGCCCACAAUACUCGGAGCGAUUGAAGUAACAAUUGGGAUCUCCAUGGCACUGACCGCAAUUACGUAUCUGGCUGUCGAUGUCGACCUCGACAUAACAGCAAUCCUCUUCUGGGGAAUCUUCAUCUACAUCCCUGCUGGGGGUUUGACCAUCGCUGCUGACAGGAAACCCACCAGGGCCAAGGUGUGCGCUGCGUUGGGGAUGAAUGUGCUGGUGGCUCUCUCGACCGUCGCUGGAAGUGUUCUUCAUUUCUUUGCUAGUGUACUAUUUGCGUACCCUCCCUGCCACCUUGGUUGUAAACAUUUGAGAAAUACUGAAUUGUUCAUGCUGGCAGCGUCCAUCUUGCUGUUCAUCGUCUCCAUACUGGUUGUUUCCUCUGCAGUGGCUGCUCUGUGUUCCUCUAGAAAGCCAUCAAUAGAAAACACAGUAAUCUAAGAGGUACCCCUCGUUCUAAGGUGGACAAAAAAAUUGAUGAACCUCUUCUAUCUUCAGAUUUCACACCAAAAGGUUUUAUUUUAUAAAUAUUUCUUUGUACACCUUUUUUAUCUUCUGAUAUCUUUCUAAUGUGGUUUACUUUGAUAUUGCAGAGAUAUUGUAACCCUGAUGUAAAUGAUUGUUGUUUCCAGAAUGUUUUUUAUAAUAUAUAUAUAAUCUCAAUUACUUUCUGUCAUUAUUUAUUUAGAUUAAUAAAAAUAGCGGAGAUAACAUCUGCAACAACUUAAAACAAUUUCCAAGUUCAGUUUAUUAACUCAAUUUGUAACAUUUCAACAAGACUGCUAAGUCUGUGUGAAUCUCAAAACAGAGAAACAAGAGCAAAUGAGUCACUGGGGUUUGCAUUUAAUGAAAAAUAUUUUUAAACAGUAAACAUUGGUCGCUUGUCAGCUUCAUCAGCUUAUUCCCUUUCAAAAAAAAUAACAUAUUCAUGCAUCUUUCAAGCAUGAAUAAAGACACCAAGUCCCUCUGUCAUGACUUUGUACGAUCAAAAUUCUUGUAAAACUUCUGACCCUUGGUAUUAUGUUUAUUUAAAAUAAAAUAAGUAACUUAUUAAAAUAAAUAAAUAAAUGAGACCCCGCCCCGUCUGCCGCUCGCGCCCCCCCCCCCCCCCCCCCCCCCCCCCCCCCCACACCCCCGACACUUUUUAUCAGCUGAGGGCGUUUCCAUGAGUCUCAUAGUAUUUGAACAUGUUGUACUUGUUGAUUAGCUCACGUUGCUAUGGCAAUGAAAACGCCCUCAGCUGAUAAAAUAAUGCCAGCAUUUUUUUUCAACUGAAAAUUAGCACCCAUGUCAACUUCUUCUGCUCCUUGCACCUUAUCAUGCUUAUCAUGCUACGCAGCAUUACAAGCCCCUGCUGACUAAAACAUGAAGCAAUUCAAGAGGAGGCAUAGAUAGAAUCACCUUGUGGUCAACUGUCAUUUAAUAGUCAUCUGACAGAUUAUGUCAAGGUUAUAAAAUGAUCAUUAUUAUUAUUAGCUGCUCAUGUUAUAACACAGCUGGAUAUCGUGGAUUUUCUGAUAAAGACUAGCAAGCCUUUUUGACAGACAAAACAGCAGAAACUAUUUUAAGUGUGCUCGUGCUGCCUUUUUGGUUUUGUCAAACAGGAGACGCCUGCCCACCAAUCAGAGGUUAGAGAUUCCUGCAGGAAGGUUGUGCUCGAUUUCACUAGCCCAUUUGUGCCUGUUCAUUAGUGUACAGCAUCUAUUCUCUCAUUGCUUGUGUAAAAAAAAGUUAGAAUAUUAGAUUUGAGGACGAAAUGAUAGGGUGGGCUAAGGCAAGUUUUAGGUGGGCUUGAGCCCACCCAAAAAGGUCUAGCUUCGCGACUGAACGUAAGCUAGCGAGAACUCAUCCAGCUUCACUUUUCAAAAAUGCGCGGUAACUGUUAGCGGCUACAGUGACGUAGGCCUACGUAGCCAGCAGAUUUAGGCCACGUUUAUACGUAGCAGGGUAUUUAUAGAAACAAAUAUUUCCCCCCCUCCGUUUUCAAAAAUAACAUUGUGCACACAACAUCGUUUUCAAAAAAGUUGUCGUUUACAUCAAAACGCAUAAAUACGCUGUCGAGCACCAUUAUAACCAUGCCAAACCUAUGGGCGGCAGUGUAGGGAGAAGGAUAAAGCCAUGCAAGCCAAUCAGAGUGCUCAGAAUCAACAACAACGAAUAACACGAGCGUCUUCCUGUAAGAAACAAACUGUAAACAUAGGGCGCUCAUAUGACGUUAAGCAUUUCCUGGCGCAUAAUGUGACGCUUCAGAACCUUAAACCCCGUUUCUCCCCGUUGACACGACAACACAUAACCGGCGUUUUCAGAAAUCUCCAAUUUGGCCAGAGUUUUUAGAAAUGAUUGUUUUCUGUGAUAAAAACAGCGUUUUGGUGUAAAUAAGAGGCCAAACCUCUUGGAAAUAUCUGCGUUUUCCCUUCGUGUAAACGGGGCCUUAAUAGUCCGCCAAAGACGUUGACGUCGCUUUGCAACCGAAGACGCUGGGUUUGACAAGUUAUCGGACUUCUUGCGGAGUGAUACCAAAGACGCCAUUAGAGGCAAAAAAGCCUUUGUUUACCUUGACAGCGGUCAAUUAUACUUCGCAGCGGUGCAUUAUCAAAUAUAAUUCACCGCCGGGAGUUGUGUAGGGCCCAUGCAAGUGAACGGAGCGUUAAUAAUAUAAAUAAUAAUAUAAAAUAUGUAUAUACAUAUUUUUUUUUUUAGAUCUGUGCCUCAAGUGGGGGGGCACUAGCAUUGUGGGGGGCGGACCCGGCCCCCUAUGGCCCGCCCAUAGUGACGGGCCUGGAUGUACCUAUAGUGCCUGACAGCUGCUUUCACACCGCCGCGCGGCAACUCGCCGUCUCCGUUCAUUUCAAUGAGGGAAGGGCGGCAGAGGGGAGGCGAGGGGAGGCCAGAUUCUACAGGCCUGUCCCCCCUUUCUCUCUGCCUCCGUCCAGCCCUGUCAUGUCGGCUGUGAGGACCAGCUCUUCUCCUCUGGUCAGUGCAACUGGAAUAACCUCUAUACAGGUCUUACAUUCUGCAGCGUGUAGCGGAUAGAGGAUUUACCAUCUUUUUCAUUUUCUUUAUGUAGGUUGAAUCAGAUAGGAGCCCUGCUCCUCCUGGUCUCCUCCUGGUCUCCUCCUGGUCUCCUCCUCCUGGUCUCCUCCUGGUCUCCUCUUGGUCUCCUCCUGGUCUCCUCCUGGUCCCCUCCUGGUCCUUUCCUGGUCACCUGGUCUCCUCCUGGUCCCCUCCUGGAGACCAUUCCCCAGCAGGACCAGCGCUGGAUUGCGUCCACGCUGUGGAGGAACCAGCGGCUGCGCCCGGACGUCCAGCUCUGGUAUGAGCCACCGGUUCCUGCCCUCCUCUACAGCCAGGUCC
Gadus morhua (Atlantic cod) is the source of this 3477-nucleotide long non-coding RNA. NCBI's taxonomy places the organism in Eukaryota, Metazoa, Chordata, Actinopteri, Gadiformes, Gadidae. The record is from Ensembl.